GACGAACGCUGGCGGCGUGCCUAAUACAUGCAAGUAGAACGCUGAAGAGAGGAGCUUGCUCUUCUUGGAUGAGUUGCGAACGGGUGAGUAACGCGUAGGUAACCUGCCUUGUAGCGGGGGAUAACUAUUGGAAACGAUAGCUAAUACCGCAUAACAAUGGAUGACACAUGUCAUUUAUUUGAAAGGGGCAAUUGCUCCACUACAAGAUGGACCUGCGUUGUAUUAGCUAGUAGGUGAGGUAACGGCUCACCUAGGCGACGAUACAUAGCCGACCUGAGAGGGUGAUCGGCCACACUGGGACUGAGACACGGCCCAGACUCCUACGGGAGGCAGCAGUAGGGAAUCUUCGGCAAUGGGGGCAACCCUGACCGAGCAACGCCGCGUGAGUGAAGAAGGUUUUCGGAUCGUAAAGCUCGGUUGUAAGUCAAGAACGAGGGUGAGAGUGGAAAGUUCACACUGUGACGGUAGCUUACCAGAAAGGGACGGCUAACUACGUG
This 497-nucleotide ribosomal RNA is filed under the name uncultured bacterium. Its description in RNAcentral is "partial 16S ribosomal RNA". It matches the Rfam family "Bacterial small subunit ribosomal RNA", at positions 28 to 507 of the family's 1533-position model. The record is from RNAcentral.